This 21-nucleotide unclassified non-coding RNA is filed under the name Mus musculus (house mouse). RNAcentral describes it as "oocyte_clustered_small_RNA10991". Lineage: Eukaryota; Metazoa; Chordata; Mammalia; Rodentia; Muridae. The record is from RNAcentral.
UGCCGGAUCCAGCGAAGUCUG